GGAGGCUCAGUCCACGUUCUGCUGAGCAUUUCUAAAUGUUUUUGUGCAGCAGUGUUUCAGGUGGGGGGAACUUCAUCCUUUUGUCUGAUUUUGUGCAUAAAUCUCAUGUCUUUAAGCUCCUGUUUCUCCCCUGUGAUCCUGAAAGGGGAACAAAAAGAGCACCUUUGUGGCUUGGAGCACACUGCUGUGCUGUCAAGAGAAGGUUACUUGCAGGUUACCUGGAGCUCAAAGUGUCUAAUGAGCUACACUGAACAAAUACAGAUAUGUUGAAUAGUGUCUCCUUUUGUGUCUUCUCUUAUAUAGGAAAUUGGAAGAUCUGACUUUGGUUUUCUAAUGGAGCCAUUAAAGAAAAUUAACAUUAACCUCACUGCUUUUCUGCUCCUCCUUCUCCACAGUCUUUUCAUUGGACAGUGCAGGGCAGCAGCUUGUAUUUUUGGAAGAACAGAAAUUCUCACAGAAAUACCCACAAGAGGUGUGGGUAAACUCUCAGUCUUCCCAGAGAAUAUUGGUGUCAGCUUUUCAUCCCAGGAAUACAGGGAGAGUGUUGCUGUCUGCAAGUUUGAAGAAUGGCUCUUCUACUUCAUCACACUCCUCUACAUGUUUCUAGUCCUGCUGUAUUUUUUUUCAUGGAAAUAGGAGUUUCUUACUUAAGUAUCACUUGCCUGUUGGUUGCCCUUGGAACCAUUUUGAAGUUAUAGCCAGUGAAGAAACCAGAGGUGCCUUGGGCAUAGAAACUGUGGCCUAAACCUCAGUGAGUGGCUGGAUGAAAAGCAGACAGUUUGUUUUUUUUCAAAUUACACUCUGAAAUGUUGUAUUUCAAACCCAUUAUUGAUAAUUCUUUGUUGCUUUUAGAAAUAAAAAAAGCAAGAUUCA
Molecule: long non-coding RNA, 873 nt
Organism: Passer domesticus (house sparrow)
Lineage: Eukaryota; Metazoa; Chordata; Aves; Passeriformes; Passeridae
Exons: 2
Source: RefSeq, a predicted model, not a curated record